AACGAACGCUGGCGGCAGGCUUAACACAUGCAAGUCGAACGCCCCGCAAGGGGAGUGGCAGACGGGUGAGUAACGCGUGGGAACAUACCCUUUUCUACGGAAUAGCUCUGGGAAACUGGAAUUAAUACCGUAUACGCCCUACGGGGGAAAGAUUUAUCGGGGAAGGAUUGGCCCGCGUUGGAUUAGCUAGUUGGUGGGGUAAAGGCCUACCAAGGCGACGAUCCAUAGCUGGUCUGAGAGGAUGAUCAGCCACAUUGGGACUGGGACACGGCCCAAACUCCUACGGGAGGCAGCAGUGGGGAAUAUUGGACAAUGGGCGCAAGCCUGAUCCAGCCAUGCCGCGUGAGUGAUGAAGGCCUUAGGGUUGUAAAGCUCUUUCAACGAUGAAGAUAAUGACGGUAGUAGGAGAAGAAGCCCCGGCUAACUUCGUG
RNAcentral lists this ribosomal RNA (431 nucleotides) under uncultured bacterium. RNAcentral's name for it is "partial 16S ribosomal RNA". It matches the Rfam family "Bacterial small subunit ribosomal RNA", at positions 29 to 507 of the family's 1533-position model. The record is from RNAcentral.